RNAcentral lists this long non-coding RNA (763 nucleotides) under Capsella grandiflora. Its description in RNAcentral is "long non-coding RNA (CGRA_LNC000328)". The record is from RNAcentral. Lineage: Eukaryota; Viridiplantae; Streptophyta; Magnoliopsida; Brassicales; Brassicaceae.
GCAGAGAUAUAACAAGUGUGUACACUAAUUUGUUUUUCUUCACUACAUCCAAAUUAGCAUUAAAAUUGAUGUAUUCAUAAAACCCUAAGUUGACACCAAAAAUGUCAUAUCCACAAUAACUUGUCCAUAUAAAAGUCACAGUUACAGGAAUGAAUAUAUGUUCUUAAAACACUUGUUCUAUUGUAUGGUUUGUAUGGAUAUGAAAAUCGAUUCAUAAAAAAAUUGAUGGACACAAAAAUCACAAAAUACGUUGUCCAAAUGAACAAUACCAAAUGGAUACUCUAAUAUGCUUAAAACCGGAAGAAAAAUAAUUAAUGGAAAUAUACACUUAAAAUAUAUCAAAGUGGAUCUUAAAAUGUAGAAAAAAAAAUUAUAAUCGGUUGUGUCAAAAAAAUAUACAUUAAUUUUUACUUAAAAUUUUCUUUUGUUAUAUUUGUUUCACUAACCAAACUUCUAUAAUCUCUUUCAAUUACUUUGGUUUCCGCGCUCAACAUAAGCAAUAGGAUCUAAAUUCUCUCUUUGAAAUCCAACGGUCUUUAUCAAAGCUAAUAAAACUAAAAUCUAGCUACACUUUUUUAUUUUGAACGAUUUAUUACAGCCACAUGAUCGUUUUAUUUAGUUACAAUCCAACGGUUUUAAACCUAUCAACAUUUCACCAUUUGUUUUUUCUCUCACUAUCUUAAAUAAGGGCAAAAUCGUCAAAAAAAAUCAAAAAGCUAGCAAAUAAAGCUCAAAAGUACACCAUCGAUUCAAAAUAUGUCUA